UNCACGUGUAGCAGUGAAAUGCGUAGAGAUGUGGAGGAAUACCGAUGGCGAAGGCAGCCUCCUGGGAUAACACUGACGUUCAUGCCNGAAAGCGUGGGUAGCAAACAGGAUUAGAUACCCUGGUAGUNCACGCCCUAAACGAUGUCGAUUAGCUGUUGGGCAGCAUGACUGCUUAGUAGCGAAGCUAACGCGUGAAAUCGACCGCCUGGGGAGUACGGUCGCAAGAUUAAAACUCAAAGGAAUUGACGGGGACCCGCACAAGCGGUGGAUGAUGUGGAUUAAUUCGAUGCAACGCGAAGAACCUUACCUGGUCUUGACAUGUACGGAACCCUCCAGAGACGGAGGGGUGCCUUCGGGAGCCGUAACACAGGUGCUGCAUGGCUGUCGUCAGCUCGUGUCGUGAGAUGUUGGGUUAAGUCCCGCAACGAGCGCAACCCUUGUCAUUAGUUGCCAUCAUUAAGUUGGGCACUCUAAUGAGACUGCCGGUGACAAGCCGGAGGAAGGUGGGGAUGACGUCAAGUCCUCAUGGCCCUUAUGACCAGGGCUUCACACGUCAUACAAUGGUCGGUACAGAGGGUAGCCAAGCCGCGAGGUGGAGCCAAUCUCACAAAACCGAUCGUAGUCCGGAUUGCACUCUGCAACUCGAGUGCAUGGAGUCGGAAUCGCUAGUAAUCGCAGGUCAGCAUACUGCGGUGAAUACGUUCCCGGGUCUUGUACACACCGCCCGUCACACCAUGGGAGUGGGGGAUACCAGAAGUAGGUAGGGUAAC
Molecule: ribosomal RNA, 770 nt
Filed under: uncultured bacterium
Lineage: Bacteria
Description: bacterial SSU rRNA
Rfam family: Bacterial small subunit ribosomal RNA
Source: RNAcentral